UGGGGAAUUUUGGACAAUGGGGGCAACCCUGAUCCAGCAAUGCCGCGUGUGUGAAGAAGGCCUUCGGGUUGUAAAGCACUUUUGUCCGGAAAGAAAACGUCGUGGUUAAUACCCGUGGCGGCUGACGGUACCGGAAGAAUAAGCACCGGCUAACUACGUGCCAGCAGCCGCGGUAAUACGUAGGGUGCAAGCGUUAAUCGGAAUUACUGGGCGUAAAGCGUGCGCAGGCGGUCCGCUAAGACAGAUGUGAAAUCCCCGGGCUUAACCUGGGAACUGCAUUUGUGACUGGCGGGCUAGAGUAUGGCAGAGGGGGGUAGAAUUCCACGUGUAGCAGUGAAAUGCGUAGAGAUGUGGAGGAAUACCGAUGGCGAAGGCAGCCCCCUGGGCCAAUACUGACGCUCAUGCACGAAAGCGUGGGGGAGCAAACAGGAUUAGAUACCCUGGUAGUCCACGCCCUAAACGAUGUCAACUAGUUGUCGGGUCUUCAUUGACUUGGUAACGUGCUAACGCGUGAAGUUGACCGCCU
This 526-nucleotide ribosomal RNA is filed under the name uncultured bacterium. Its description in RNAcentral is "partial 16S ribosomal RNA". It matches the Rfam family "Bacterial small subunit ribosomal RNA", at positions 355 to 874 of the family's 1533-position model. The record is from RNAcentral.